GUUUGAUCCUGGCUCAGGAUGAACGCUAGCGGGAGGCCUAACACAUGCAAGCCGAGCGGUAGAAGUCCUUCGGGACUUUGAGAGCGGCGUACGGGUGCGUAACACGUGUGCAACCUACCUUUAUCAGGGGAAUAGCCUUUCGAAAGGAAGAUUAAUACUCCAUAAUAUAUUGAAUGGCAUCAUUCGGAUUGAAAACUCCGGUGGAUAGAGAUGGGCACGCGCAAGAUUAGAUAGUUGGUGAGGUAACGGCUCACCAAGUCAAUGAUCUUUAGGGGUCCUGAGAGGGAGAUCCCCCACACUGGUACUGAGACACGGACCAGACUCCUACGGGAGGCAGCAGUGAGGAAUAUUGGACAAUGGGUGAGAGCCUGAUCCAGCCAUCCCGCGUGAAGGAUGACGGUCCUAUGGAUUGUAAACUUCUUUUAUACAGGGAUAAACCUAGAUACGUGUAUCUAGCUGAAGGUACUGUAUGAAUAAGCACCGGCUAACUCCGUG
Molecule: ribosomal RNA, 495 nt
Filed under: uncultured Chryseobacterium sp.
Lineage: Bacteria; Pseudomonadati; Bacteroidota; Flavobacteriia; Flavobacteriales; Weeksellaceae
Description: bacterial SSU rRNA
Rfam family: Bacterial small subunit ribosomal RNA
Source: RNAcentral